This 1249-nucleotide long non-coding RNA is filed under the name Chinchilla lanigera (long-tailed chinchilla). RNAcentral's name for it is "lncRNA (ENSCLAG00000027662.1)". The record is from RNAcentral. Lineage: Eukaryota; Metazoa; Chordata; Mammalia; Rodentia; Chinchillidae.
CCUCUUUUCACAGAGAGAGUCGAUCAUUAAAAGCAUGGGUUUCAGAACUCACUGGUUCACCCUGAGCAAGUUGCCUAACCUCCCUGAGCUCCUCUUGUCCCCUUUUGGCCCUCUUCCCUUUUACAAAAGCUCGAUUUCCUUUGUUUCUUUCUUCAAUUCUUUUUUUCCAGCUCCUUUCGCCCCGCCCCUGUCUCUCCAUCUCCUGUUCCCCUUCCCGUUUGAAAAAAACUCCCUACUUCCUAUUAUCUAUUGUUAUCCUAUUAUCUAUUAUAAUAUCCUAUUAUCUAUCUCUAGUGAGCUGUUAUUCCUGUGCAUAAGAUUUCAGUCCCUCCUUCAAGCUGUCCUGGCCUCCUGCCCCCACACCCCCUUCUUCUCCUUUGCAUCCUUUUGCACCCGCUUCCUUCCUGCAGCUCCUGACCGGCCCCACCAGGGCAGGUCUCCUCUGCAAAGCCGCUCAAGCCGCGCAAGCCCACAAGGAGGUAUCCCCGCUGCAACUCACCGUGCAUCCAAAGUUGGCAUGUUCUUCCUCACGCCGUUCAUUAUCUCUCUGCAUGUGGUGUCAUUUAGCCCAGCCAGGCUUUCCUUGCUGAUUUCUAACAGACCUACAUCCCGGCCCAGUAAUGCAAAUGCUAAAUUUUAAAAUAAUGUAAGUGUAUACCAAAGAAUAACAAUGAAAAGAAAAAUGUGCCUUUUUUAAAGGUCCGGCAGCAGGCUGGGUUUUUCUUGCAGCUUGCUUUGUAUUUUCUAGAUGUUCCAGUUAAUGAAGAGAAUAUCGUUCCAGCACAGCUUUGUCAGUAAAAUUGUCAGAAAUGGAAAUAACAGGAGAGGUGGAGGUUUGGUUCUGGAACAAUGGGGAGAGGAUCCUAGAUAUAAGUCAUGAGAGUCUAAUUAAUGUCAGGUCAACUGGCUGGAAAUUGCUAUUGCACACCUGGGACUAUUGAUCUUCAAAACAGAGGAAGGUUGGGGUUAGGUUAAUGCUAUGGUUGGAAUGUUUGUCCCCCAAAACUCAUGUGUUAGAAACUAAAUCUCCAAAGUCAUUUGUCAAUGGUAUUUGGAGAUAUCUUUAUGAGGUGAUUAGGUGAUCUGGGCCAAAUCAUGCAUUAAUGGGUAAAGGGGUUCUCUCGAGAGUGGGUCUGAUACAAAGGGCAGCUUGGCUCUAUCUCUUGAAUGUGGUCCUUUCUCCAUAUGAUCCUGUGUGUCACUUUGGGACUCUACCAGUAAGAAGGACCUCAUCAGAGGCAGCCUCCAG